This 1593-nucleotide ribosomal RNA is filed under the name Spathula sp. MR-2006. RNAcentral's name for it is "eukaryotic LSU rRNA". It matches the Rfam family "Eukaryotic large subunit ribosomal RNA", at positions 89 to 1467 of the family's 3401-position model. Lineage: Eukaryota; Metazoa; Platyhelminthes; Tricladida; Dugesiidae. The record is from RNAcentral.
GCGAACGACCGGGUAAUUAGCCCAAACCGAAUCCUGUAUCAUUUUCGGUACYAAAGCUCCUAAAGGUUUGUGUUUUUAAUUGCUAAACAGGCUUCCAAAUUCACUUGAUUGUGAUGUUGUCCAUAGAGGGUGUUAGACCUGUUGGGGCUUGGGAGGCUUUUAUUGAUACUUCUUAUGAGUCGGAUUGUUUGAGAAUGCAGUCCAAAUACGGUGGUAAACUCCAUCUAAGGCUAAAUACUUGUGUGAGUCCGAUAGCAAACAAGUACCGUGAGGGAAAGUUGAAAAGAACUUUGAAGAGAGAGUUAAAUAGUACGUGAAAUUGCUUAGAGGUAAACGAGUGGAGCUGAAAAUGUUGUUUGGGAUUCAGUUGAGUGUCGAUUGAUAUUCGAUUAGUUACAUCUCAACUGGGAGUAGCUUUUCGAUAAUAUUCAGUCAACACUCAAUGCACUUUCCAUUCAACAGAACUGCGAUCGAUAGCGUUAUCUUUCUGUCGUAAUGGUGAAGGUGGUCAUUUCUUCGGAAAUGUCUUUAUAGCUCAUUGCACGGUCAGAUAAUUUAUCGGUAAAUACGAUUGUUCAACAUUUGUAAGGUUUAUAUCGGUCAUUUGAUGGUAGACUAUUCAUCCCUUUGGGGGGCGGAUCCAAAUGUAUUGCCUAUGUUGAGUAGAGCAACUCAAAAUCAGCAGUUUAUUUGUAGGUUACCUACUCGUCCCGUCUUGAAACACGGACCAAGGAGUUUUAUAUGAUCGCGAGUCAAAGGGCAAUACGAAACCCCACGGCGCAAUUAAAGUGAAGGUUUACUUACGUGAACUGAGAUGUGACUAUUACGUGUUUUUAAUCGAACGCGUUUCAUGCAACAUCUACCCGUCUAAAUAUGUUCGCAUAUGGGCGGAGUUUGAGCGAUGAUGUAGAGACCCGAAAGAUGGUGAACUAUGCUUGUGCAGGUUGAAGUCAGGGGAAACUCUGAUGGAGGACCGCCGCGGUUCUGACGUGCAAAUCGAUCGUCGGACAUGAGUAUAGGGGCGAAAGACUAAUCGAACCAUCUAGUAGCUGGUUCCCUCCGAAGUUUCCCUCAGGAUAGCUGGCGUUUGAUGUCGUAGUUUCACCUGGUAAAGCGAAUGAUUAGAAGUAUUGGGGACGAAAUGUUCUCAACUUAUUCUCAAACUUUAAAUGGGUUCGAAGUGUGUCUCGCUUCAUUGGAGAUGCACAUUGAAUACGAAUGCCUAGUGGGCCAUUUUUGGUAAGCAGAACUGGCGAUGUGGGAUGAACCAAACAUUUGGUUAAGGUGCCUAACAUCACGCUCAUGAGACCCCACAAAAGGUAUUGGUUGAUAAAGACAGCAGGACGGUGGACAUGGAAGUCGUCAUCCGCUAAGGAGUGUGUAACAACUCACCUGCCGAAUCAACCAGUCCUGAAAAUGGAUGGCGCUGUAGCGUGAGACCUAUACCGAAUCGUUAUCGCAAGAAUAUCAAAUUUUUUUCCAAAANUUUGUUCAAGUAAGCGGUACGUGUAGGAGGGUGCCGUGGUUGCUUCGUGGGCUCGCGUGAGUAGAGUGGAGCGGCCAGCGGGUACAGAUCUUGGUAGUAGUAGCAAU